GUGGCCGUGUCUUCUUGUGCUGACUAACGAAACCUAUAGUUUCUGGCUCGGUAUCGGUGAUGGAUGCGGGGCGCUACUGGUGUCGCCGGAGAGGAUGUUGCCAUCCUCGUGUCCUAUUUCUAGGCAUCAAGGAUAGACGCGCUAGAUGCCAUCGCCAUCAACUACGGCGACGAGGGAAAGCUGAAGCAAAAGACAAGGUGCCAAAGCAAGUUAAGAUUCAUAGGUCUACCGGUGCCGCGAAACAAAUGGCCGAUGCGAAGGCUGGCAUGGGAAAAAACAAGAAGGGCGAUAACAACGCUGAUGAUUAGAGUGAUGGUGAAAGCGACGAUGAUUCAGACAGAGCCUUGGAUGAUUCUAGCGAGGGUGAUGAUAUGCCCAUCAAUUUGACCAUCAAAUUAGGGACGAGACGAUCAGAAGCAUAGGAGAUGGCGGUCUGCGGUUGCAGCAUGAUCACCAUAACACGCAGGAACACGGCUAUGACCUCGUUCGCGACCAACUUGCAUACAUAGGC
Molecule: non-coding RNA, 511 nt
Organism: Lolium perenne
Lineage: Eukaryota; Viridiplantae; Streptophyta; Magnoliopsida; Poales; Poaceae
Source: RefSeq, a predicted model, not a curated record